Molecule: ribosomal RNA, 492 nt
Filed under: uncultured bacterium
Lineage: Bacteria
Description: partial 16S ribosomal RNA
Rfam family: Bacterial small subunit ribosomal RNA
Source: RNAcentral
AGUGAACGCUGGCGGUAGGCCUAACACAUGCAAGUCGAACGGCAGCACAGUAAGAGCUUGCUCUUACGGGUGGCGAGUGGCGGACGGGUGAGGAAUACAUCGGAAUCUACUUUUUCGUGGGGGAUAACGUAGGGAAACUUACGCUAAUACCGCAUACGACCUACGGGUGAAAGCAGGGGAUCUUCGGACCUUGCGCGAUUGAAUGAGCCGAUUUCGGAUUAGCUAGUUGGCGGGGUAAAGGCCCACCAAGGCGACGAUCCGUAGCCGGUCUGAGAGGAUGAUCAGCCACACUGGAACUGAGACACGGUCCAGACUCCUACGGGAGGCAGCAGUGGGGAAUAUUGGACAAUGGGCGCAAGCCUGAUCCAGCCAUACCGCGUGGGUGAAGAAGGCCUUCGGGUUGUAAAGCCCUUUUGUUGGGAAAGAAAAGCAGCAGGUUAAUACCCCGCUGUUCUGACGGUACCCAAAGAAUAAGCACCGGCUAACUUCGUG